This 500-nucleotide ribosomal RNA is filed under the name uncultured bacterium. RNAcentral's name for it is "bacterial SSU rRNA". It matches the Rfam family "Bacterial small subunit ribosomal RNA", at positions 28 to 507 of the family's 1533-position model. The record is from RNAcentral.
GAUGAACGCGUAGCGGGAGGGCUUAACACAUGCAAGUCGAGGGGCGAGCAUAGGGUAGCAAUACUCUGAUGGCGACCGGCGAAACGGGUAGGAGUAACGCGUAUGCAACCUACCCUCGGUACAGGGGGAUAACCCGGAGAAAUUCGGACUAAUAUCCCGUAAUAAUAUCCGGAGGCAUCUUUGGAUAUUUAAAGUUCCGACGGUACGGGAUGGGCAUGCGUAACAUUAGCUGGUUGGUAAGGUAACGGCUUACCAAGGCUAUGAUGUUUAGGGGUCCUGAGAGGGUGGUCCCCCACACUGGGACUGAGAUACGGCCCAGACUCCUACGGGAGGCAGCAGUGAGGAAUCUUGCGCAAUGGGGGAAACCCUGACGCAGCAACGCCGCGUGAGUGAGGAAGGCCUUCGGGUCGUAAAGCUCUGUCAGAUGGGAAGAAAUGGAUGGGGGCUAAUAUCGCCCAUCCUUGACGGUACCAUCAGAGGAAGCACCGGCUAACUCCGUG